UAUUAAAAAUUUUAUCUAUUUUGUAUUUUUAAAAACCGAUGUGGCUAACGGAAUAACCAUAUAUUGACAUAUGGUGUGUCACAUGUACCUGAUAUUAAUAUACAAAUGCUACUUUUUAACAAUAGAAAUUGAUAGAAUUUUUAAAA
Gossypium hirsutum (cotton) is the source of this 146-nucleotide non-coding RNA. The record is from Rfam. NCBI's taxonomy places the organism in Eukaryota, Viridiplantae, Streptophyta, Magnoliopsida, Malvales, Malvaceae.